Molecule: ribosomal RNA, 318 nt
Filed under: Oxyrrhis marina
Lineage: Eukaryota; Dinophyceae; Oxyrrhinales; Oxyrrhinaceae
Description: partial Bacterial large subunit ribosomal RNA
Rfam family: Bacterial large subunit ribosomal RNA
Source: RNAcentral
GUAACAGGCACUGGAGGACCGAACCCACUGUCUUUGAAAAGCCAGGGGAUGACUUGUGGAUAGGGGUGAAAGGCUAAUCAAACUCGGUGAUAGCUGGUUCUCCCCGAAAGCUAUUUAGGUAGCGCCUCGGACGAACACCAUUGGGGGUAGAGCACUGUUUCGGCUAGGGGGUCAUCCCGACUUACCAAACCGAUGCAAACUCCGAAUACCUACAAGUGCCGAGCAUGGGAGACACACGGCGGGUGCUAACGUCCGUCGUGAAGAGGGAAACAACCCAGACCGCCAGCUAAGGUCCCAAAAUCACAGUUAAGAGGGAAA